UAAGGGAACCUCGAGUGCCAGGUUACAAAUCUGGCUGUCGUGAUGCCUAAAAAGCAUUGCAUAGCAAGGGCCGGGCAAGACCGGUGCCAGCCGCCGCGGUAACACCGGCGGCUCGAGUGGUAACCGUUAUUAUUGGGUCUAAAGGGUCUGUAGCCGGCCGGAUAAGUCUCUUGGGAAAUCUGGCAGCUUAACUGUCAGGCUUUCAGGAGAUACUGUCUGGCUCGAGGCCGGGAGAGGUGAGAGGUACUUCAGGGGUAGGGGUGAAAU
This 267-nucleotide ribosomal RNA is filed under the name uncultured euryarchaeote. RNAcentral's name for it is "partial 16S ribosomal RNA". It matches the Rfam family "Archaeal small subunit ribosomal RNA", at positions 371 to 638 of the family's 1478-position model. The record is from RNAcentral. Lineage: Archaea; Methanobacteriati; Methanobacteriota.